This 398-nucleotide ribosomal RNA is filed under the name uncultured bacterium. Its description in RNAcentral is "bacterial SSU rRNA". It matches the Rfam family "Bacterial small subunit ribosomal RNA", at positions 975 to 1375 of the family's 1533-position model. The record is from RNAcentral.
CAGGGUUUGACAUCCUACGCUCGCCAGAGAGAUCUGGUUUUCCCGCAAGGGACGUAGAGACAGGUGCUGCAUGGCUGUCGUCAGCUCGUGUCGUGAGAUGUUGGGUUAAGUCCCGCAACGAGCGCAACCCUCGCCUUUAGUUGCCAUCAUUAAGUUGGGCACUCUAGAGGGACCGCCGGCGACAAGCCGGAGGAAGGUGGGGAUGACGUCAAGUCCUCAUGGCCCUUACACCCUGGGCUACACACGUGCUACAAUGGCGGUGACAGUGGGCAGCUACUUCGCGAGGAGCGGCUAAUCCCAAAAAACCGUCCCAGUUCAGAUUGCAGUCUGCAACUCGACUGCAUGAAGGUGGAAUCGCUAGUAAUCGCAGAACAGCAGGCUGCGGUGAAUACGUUCCC